GUAGUCCAUGCCGUAAACGUUGGGCACUAGGUGUGGGACCCAUUCCACGGGUUCCGUGCCGCAGCUAACGCAUUAAGUGCCCCGCCUGGGGAGUACGGCCGCAAGGCUAAAACUCAAAGAAAUUGACGGGGGCCCGCACAAGCGGCGGAGCAUGCGGAUUAAUUCGAUGCAACGCGAAGAACCUUACCAAGGCUUGACAUACACCGGAAAAGUGCAGAGAUGUGCUCCCCGUAAGGUCGGUGUACAGGUGGUGCAUGGUUGUCGUCAGCUCGUGUCGUGAGAUGUUGGGUUAAGUCCCGCAACGAGCGCAACCCUCGUCCCAUGUUGCCAGCGGGUUAUGCCGGGGACUCAUGGGAGACUGCCGGGGUCAACUCGGAGGAAGGUGGGGAUGACGUCAAAUCAUCAUGCCCCUUAUGUCUUGGGCUUCACGCAUGCUACAAUGGCCGGUACAAAGGGCUGCGAUACCGUAAGGUGGAGCGAAUCCCAAAAAGCCGGUCUCAGUUCGGAUUGGGGUCUGCAACUCGACCCCAUGAAGUCGGAGUCGCUAGUAAUCGCAGAUCAGCAACGCUGCGGUGAAUACGUUCCCGGGCCUUGUACACACCGCCCGUCAAGUCACGAAAGUCGGUAACACCCGAAGCCGGUGGCCCAACCCUUGGGGGGGAGCCGUCGAAGGUGGGACUGGCGAUUGGGACUAAGUCGUAACAAGGGUAACCG
Molecule: ribosomal RNA, 714 nt
Filed under: Cellulomonas uda
Lineage: Bacteria; Bacillati; Actinomycetota; Actinomycetes; Micrococcales; Cellulomonadaceae
Description: bacterial SSU rRNA
Rfam family: Bacterial small subunit ribosomal RNA
Source: RNAcentral